UACAGAGGGGGCAAGCGUUAUUCGGAAUUAUUGGGCGUAAAGGGCGCGUAGGCGGUUCUUCAAGUCUCUCGUGAAGUCCCUCGGCUUAACUGAGGACGUGCGGGAGAUACUGAAGGGCUUGAGUCCGGAAGAGGGUGGUGGAAUUCCCAGUGUAGCGGUGAAAUGCGUAGAUAUUGGGAGGAACACCGGUGGCGAAGGCGGCCACCUGGGCCGGAACUGACGCUGAGGCGCGAAAGCGUGGGGAGCAAACGGG
RNAcentral lists this ribosomal RNA (253 nucleotides) under uncultured bacterium. RNAcentral describes it as "partial 16S ribosomal RNA". It matches the Rfam family "Bacterial small subunit ribosomal RNA", at positions 524 to 776 of the family's 1533-position model. The record is from RNAcentral.